CUGCUAUUUCAAAAUUAUUUUGAAAUCUAUGCAUGUUAGUCUAUCCGCUUUCUAACAAUGACUGCAUCAACUAUUGGGGCUGAUCAGAACACAAUCCAUCUGAAAAUUCUAUAACUCAAUACUAUCGAAUCAUCUGCAUCGAGGUAUGAUAUCAUCUAGCAUUCACAAAUAGAAAUAAAAGUUAGUUAACAUAAGUUAUCAAAUAAUAAAUACAAUACUGAUUGAAUUGCUAAUAAGAAG
RNAcentral lists this long non-coding RNA (240 nucleotides) under Elaeis guineensis (African oil palm). RNAcentral describes it as "long non-coding RNA (EGUI_LNC058564)". The record is from RNAcentral. Lineage: Eukaryota; Viridiplantae; Streptophyta; Magnoliopsida; Arecales; Arecaceae.